UCCCAGCUGGCUCAGUGGUCAAGAACCUGGCUGCCAAUGCAGGAGAUGCAGGUUCGAUCCCUGGGUUGGGAA
RNAcentral lists this transfer RNA (72 nucleotides) under Bos taurus (domestic cattle). It matches the Rfam family "tRNA". From Rfam's summary of the family: Transfer RNA (tRNA) molecules are approximately 80 nucleotides in length. Their secondary structure includes four short double-helical elements and three loops (D, anti-codon, and T loops). Further hydrogen bonds mediate the characteristic L-shaped molecular structure. tRNAs have two regions of fundamental functional importance: the anti-codon, which is responsible for specific mRNA codon recognition, and the 3' end, to which the tRNAs corresponding amino acid is attached (by aminoacyl-tRNA synthetases). tRNAs cope with the degeneracy of the genetic code in two manners: having more than one tRNA (with a specific anti-codon) for a particular amino acid; and 'wobble' base-pairing, i.e. permitting non-standard base-pairing at the 3rd anti-codon position. Lineage: Eukaryota; Metazoa; Chordata; Mammalia; Artiodactyla; Bovidae. RNAcentral also lists the same sequence under 4 other names. The record is from Rfam by way of RNAcentral.